This 97-nucleotide signal recognition particle RNA is filed under the name Vibrio stylophorae. Its description in RNAcentral is "Bacteria_small_SRP". It matches the Rfam family "Bacterial small signal recognition particle RNA". From Rfam's summary of the family: The signal recognition particle (SRP) is a universally conserved ribonucleoprotein involved in the co-translational targeting of proteins to membranes. Lineage: Bacteria; Pseudomonadati; Pseudomonadota; Gammaproteobacteria; Vibrionales; Vibrionaceae. The record is from RNAcentral.
CCUUGGUCCUCUCGCAAUACUACCUCGUGAACUUGGUCAGGUCCGGAAGGAAGCAGCCACAGCGGGCGACGUAUGUGCCGGGAUGUGGCUGGGGUAG